Molecule: ribosomal RNA, 433 nt
Filed under: uncultured bacterium
Lineage: Bacteria
Description: partial 16S ribosomal RNA
Rfam family: Bacterial small subunit ribosomal RNA
Source: RNAcentral
AACGAACGCUGGCGGCAUGCCUAACACAUGCAAGUCGAACGAGACCUCCGGGUCUAGUGGCGCACGGGUGCGUAACGCGUGGGAACCUGCCCUUAGGUUCGGAAUAACUCCCCGAAAGGGGUGCUAAUACCGGAUAAUGUCUUCGGACCAAAGAUUUAUCGCCUUUGGAUGGGCCCGCGUUGGAUUAGCUAGUUGGUAGGGUAAAAGCCUACCAAGGCGACGAUCCAUAGCUGGUCUGAGAGGAUGAUCAGCCACACUGGGACUGAGACACGGCCCAGACUCCUACGGGAGGCGGCAGUGGGGAAUAUUGGACAAUGGGCGAAAGCCUGAUCCAGCAAUGCCGCGUGAGUGAUGAAGGCCUUAGGGUUGUAAAGCUCUUUUACCCGGGAUGAUAAUGACAGUACCGGGAGAAUAAGCUCCGGCUAACUCCGUG